This 415-nucleotide ribosomal RNA is filed under the name Drisina glutinosa. RNAcentral's name for it is "partial large subunit ribosomal RNA". It matches the Rfam family "Eukaryotic large subunit ribosomal RNA", at positions 329 to 621 of the family's 3401-position model. Lineage: Eukaryota; Metazoa; Arthropoda; Insecta; Diptera; Cecidomyiidae. The record is from RNAcentral.
CGAAACCGAUAGCGAACAAGUACCGUGAGGGAAAGUUGAAAAGUACUCUGAAUAGAGAGUUAAAUAGUACGUGAAACCGCUUAGGGGUUAAGCCCGAUGAACCCGAAUAUCUGAUGUGAGAAAUUCAAUACUGUUCCAGUUAAAUGGAGAUAGUAUGCACUUUUCUCAUAGUAAGACAUUGUAAUCCAUUGAUGCUAUAUCUCUUUCAUUUAUGGGAGAAAUGAUUUAACAUACGGACAAGAUGCAUAUGAUUAUUCUAUCAGUGAUGUGUUUACAUGUCAUAUGAAUAAGAUCGUUUUGUACCUGUUUAAAUAGUCGAUGGAUUUUAACUGAAUCAUGCUUGCAAUUUAUUUUGCGUUUCGUGUUAUCGGCCAUUUUGGUUGGUAAUAGCANAAAUGGCUUGCAUUCGAUUAAC